CCAUUCUGUGCUAUUUUCUUUUCACAUUGUCCUUUCAAACAUGGUUCCAGCAACUAUGGUAGAUGCGAAACCACUGCACCUCAGUAGUGUGAAACAGGUGCCCUUCUUCGCGAAGCAUUGGAGACCUCCCUGGUCUUUGUGGUUGAAUCUGUGUUUGAAAUUCCCUGAACGACUAAGGGACCUUACAGAUAAUUGUAUGUGUGGGGUACAAAGAUGAAGUCAUCAGGCUGCUGAAUAUCCCUCACACCUGUCACAGUUGUCUCGCGCACCUGCGCCUCAUGACACUCACCUGGACUCCAUCACCUCCUUGAUUAUCUUAUCUUCCCUGUUAUCGGCUCUGUUUUCAUGUCGGUGCGUUGUUUGU
Oncorhynchus keta (chum salmon) is the source of this 364-nucleotide long non-coding RNA. RefSeq lists it as uncharacterized. The transcript is spliced from 3 exons. NCBI's taxonomy places the organism in Eukaryota, Metazoa, Chordata, Actinopteri, Salmoniformes, Salmonidae. The record is from RefSeq and is a predicted model, not a curated record.